CUUUCUGCAUAAAAGGCAAACGCUUUGCCGCUGAGCCCAAAGGCGUGGCAGAAAGUCGUCUUUGCAGAGAUC
Podarcis lilfordi (Lilford's wall lizard) is the source of this 72-nucleotide non-coding RNA. Lineage: Eukaryota; Metazoa; Chordata; Lepidosauria; Squamata; Lacertidae. The record is from the annotation of a GenBank genome assembly.